AUUGAACGCUGGCGGCAGGCCUAACACAUGCAAGUCGAGCGGUAGAGAGGUGCUUGCAUCUCUUGAGAGCGGCGGACGGGUGAGUAAUGCCUAGGAAUCUGCCUAGUGGUGGGGGGAUAACGUUCGGAAACGGACGCUAAUACCGCAUACGUCCUACGGGAGAAAGCGGGGGAUCUUCGGGACCUCGCGCCAUUAGAUGAGCCUAGGUCGGAUUAGCUAGUUGGUGAGGUAAUGGCUCACCAAGGCGACGAUCCGUAACUGGUCUGAGAGGAUGAUCAGUCACACUGGAACUGAGACACGGUCCAGACUCCUACGGGAGGCAGCAGUGGGGAAUAUGGACAAUGGGCGAAAGCCCUGAUCCAGCCAUGCCGCGUGUGUGAAGAAGGUC
RNAcentral lists this ribosomal RNA (388 nucleotides) under uncultured bacterium. RNAcentral describes it as "bacterial SSU rRNA". It matches the Rfam family "Bacterial small subunit ribosomal RNA", at positions 30 to 416 of the family's 1533-position model. The record is from RNAcentral.